This 176-nucleotide ribosomal RNA is filed under the name uncultured Rhodococcus sp. RNAcentral describes it as "partial 16S ribosomal RNA". It matches the Rfam family "Bacterial small subunit ribosomal RNA", at positions 337 to 525 of the family's 1533-position model. Lineage: Bacteria; Bacillati; Actinomycetota; Actinomycetes; Mycobacteriales; Nocardiaceae. The record is from RNAcentral.
UUCUACGGGGGGCAGCAGUGGGGAAUAUUGCACAAUGGGCGAAAGCCUGAUGCAGCGACGCCGCGUGAGGGAUGACGGCCUUCGGGUUGUAAACCUCUUUCAGCAGGGACGAAGCGCAAGUGACGGUACCUGCAGAAGAAGCACCGGCCAACUACGUGCCAGCAGCCGCGGUAAUA